Molecule: long non-coding RNA, 1441 nt
Organism: Lycium barbarum (goji berry)
Lineage: Eukaryota; Viridiplantae; Streptophyta; Magnoliopsida; Solanales; Solanaceae
Exons: 2
Source: RefSeq, a predicted model, not a curated record
CGACCAAAAAAGGGACCCCUCUAAUUUCCUCCAAACUGGUAGAACCCUACAACUCUAGGUACAAGUGUGAACCUCCAGCUGGGUUUUCAAUGGUAACUGUACUUUUUUCCUUUGAAUUCAACGGAUUUUAGUUGCCUUCUCUUGUAAGUCUUGGAUGGGGAUCAAAAGGAAAGGGGGAAUUUUGAAUUUUCUGAACGGUCAUGUUUUCAUUUGGGUUCUACAAAUAAAAACCCUUCUCUUCAUUUUUUUGAGAGGAGAGGUUCAGAGGUGAAAAAAUGGGUUUUCAUACCCACAAUAGGGUUUUUGACAACCCUCAAGAGCUUGAACACUUAGAAGCUCGGCAAAAGCUUGAAUUUCGAGGAAAUUCGAGCUCAUACUUUAAUUUUUGGAAGUUGUUUCCAUUCGUCGGAAAUCGAUUCGGGUGGAAAGGUGUUCGUCGUCUCUCGUCGCUCCCUUCGCUGCUCGUCAAAAAGAUUGUGUUCUAGAGAUUUCUUCCAGAUUACAUCUCUAGCUUGAAGCUAGUUUGCUCGAUCAGAUCCGAGGGUGAGCUUCUAUCCAUGCCAUGCCACCUGAAGAUCUCUCUUUCCAGAUGUCUACUUUCAUUCCAAACAUUAUUUGUUAUAUUUGAGAUAUACUUCAUUCUUUAGACAUUAUUGGUUAGAGUCCUUGUAUGAUGACUUUCAGAUUUUGGGGGUGUAAUACUUAAGACUUCCGCACUUAUAUUAUCUAUUAAUUAUGACUUGUUUAUUUAUUCAUUCAUUCACUUAUCUAUUAACUGUUAAUAAAUGAUUAAAGAAGUUGAAAUUGGCUAAAGAUUAAUAGGUUAACGGGUAAGGGUUCGCCUACUAGUGAUAAUAAGGUAGGUGCCUGCACGAUCGGUAAUUAGGGUCGUGACACUACUGCUUGUUGUUGAUUUUUGGGUCACAUUGUGUUGGGUGAUUUAGAACAUACAGGAAGGCAUCGCGAUUUUGGAUAUUGCAGGAGUAUUAAGGUUGACGAGGUUAAGGGUGUUGUUCGUAGGAUGCGCAGGGGAAGAGCGACCGGACCUGACGAGAUUCCGGGGGAAUUCUGGAAGAGCGCGGGCCCGGCAGGUUUGGAGUGACUGACUAGGUUGUUUAAUGUCAUCUUUAAGACGGCAUUGAUGCCCGAAGAAUGAAGGGUGAGUGUAAUGAUCCCUCUAUACAAGAAUAAGGGAGAUAUCCAGAGUUGCAACAACUAUAGAGGUAUCAAGCUGCUAAGCCAUACUAUGAAAGUGUGGGAAAGGGUGGUGGAGAUGAGGGUGAGGAGAGGUGUGUCUAUUUCAGAAAACCAGUUCGGAUUCAUGCCGGGACGUUCAACUACAGAAGCCAUCCAUCUUAUGAGAAGGUUGGUGGAGCAGUAUAGGGAGAGGAAGAGGGACUUACACAUGGUAUUCGUCGACCUAGAAAAGGCUUAUGACAAA